GAGAAAUGCAGGUGCUCUGGCCCACACCAGACCUGCUGAAUCAGAAUCUGCAUGAAAAAGAGCCUCAGUUCCUUGGGUGACGCCUGAUCAGUCAAGGAUCCAGGAUCCUGAGGAAUGAAGCUUAUCCAAGUGCUCUGACCAGUGUGACAGCAAUGCUAAGCACCGCAUGGAAAUGAGCAGCACUGUUUUCAGAAUAAGCUUAUCAUGUAAAGGUGUGACUUCGAGGAAGGAUGGCUACUAGAGACUUUAAAAUGACAUAAGCCACUCCCAUUAUGUUUCUAUUGGACAGUGCUAGACAAGGGAUUAAAUAACAGUGGAGACACAACUGGAGAAGUUGAUUGGAUCCCAAGCUUGGAAGGCCUUGAAGAACAUUUACGAAUCACCCUGAGUGUGCUAAAUUUUGCCUACAACUUAUAGAAAUAUACAAUGUCUUCACUCAAGGUUCACGGCUUUUAUAUUGCCUGUGUUUCUCCACCUUCCGAUGAGGCUUCAGCAGAAUCCGAGCUAUUCUCCUGGAAUCCAACCAGCAAGCUGUUAUCAGAAUUCUCCAGCAACUCCUGGAUACCAUUGCCAACAAGCUGGAAAGAAUUGUGCAGGGGAAAUGCCAGCCUUGCUGAAUCAAGAAACUUCUUCAACCCAAAGUUGAAUGGAAAGAAGUAGAUGUUGUUAUGCACAGAUACCCUGGAACAGUGAUUGGUGGC
Long non-coding RNA from Balaenoptera ricei (Rice's whale), 701 nucleotides. RefSeq lists it as uncharacterized. NCBI's taxonomy places the organism in Eukaryota, Metazoa, Chordata, Mammalia, Artiodactyla, Balaenopteridae. The record is from RefSeq and is a predicted model, not a curated record. The transcript has 5 exons.